RNAcentral lists this ribosomal RNA (253 nucleotides) under uncultured bacterium. Its description in RNAcentral is "partial 16S ribosomal RNA". It matches the Rfam family "Bacterial small subunit ribosomal RNA", at positions 524 to 776 of the family's 1533-position model. The record is from RNAcentral.
UACGUAGGGUGCGAGCGUUAAUCGGAAUUACUGGGCGUAAAGCGUGCGCAGGCGGUUUUGUAAGCCAGAUGUGAAAUCCCCGGGCUUAACCUGGGAAUGGCAUUUGGGACUGCAAGGCUGGAGUGUGGCAGAGGAGACUGGAAUUCCGCGUGUAGCAGUGAAAUGCGUAGAGAUGCGGAGGAACACCGAUGGCGAAGGCAGCCCCCUGGGCUAACACUGACGCUCAGGCACGAAAGCGUGGGGAGCAAACAGG